AAAUUGAAGAGUUUGAUCAUGGCUCAGAUUGAACGCUGGCGGCAGGCCUAACACAUGCAAGUCGAGCGGUAGCACAGAGAGCUUGCUCUCGGGUGACGAGCGGCGGACGGGUGAGUAAUGUCUGGGAAACUGCCUGAUGGAGGGGGAUAACUACUGGAAACGGUAGCUAAUACCGCAUAACGUCGCAAGACCAAAGUGGGGGACCUUCGGGCCUCAUGCCAUCAGAUGUGCCCAGAUGGGAUUAGCUAGUAGGUGGGGUAACGGCUCACCUAGGCGACGAUCCCUAGCUGGUCUGAGAGGAUGACCAGCCACACUGGAACUGAGACACGGUCCAGACUCCUACGGGAGGCAGCAGUGGGGAAUAUUGCACAAUGGGCGCAAGCCUGAUGCAGCCAUGCCGCGUGUGUGAAGAAGGCCUUCGGGUUGUAAAGCACUUUCAGCGGGGAGGAAGGCGUUAAGGUUAAUAACCU
This 470-nucleotide ribosomal RNA is filed under the name Klebsiella pneumoniae. RNAcentral describes it as "bacterial SSU rRNA". It matches the Rfam family "Bacterial small subunit ribosomal RNA", at positions 1 to 469 of the family's 1533-position model. RNAcentral also lists the same sequence under 2 other names. The record is from RNAcentral. Lineage: Bacteria; Pseudomonadati; Pseudomonadota; Gammaproteobacteria; Enterobacterales; Enterobacteriaceae.